UACUCGAGUGGCGAACGGGUGAGUAACACGUGGGUGAUCUGCCCUGCACUUCGGGAUAAGCCUGGGAAACUGGGUCUAAUACCGGAUAGGAGCCAUUUUUAGUGUGAUGGUUGGAAAGUUUUUCGGUGUAGGAUGAGCUUGCGGCCUAUCAGCUUGUUGGUGGGGUAAUGGCCUACCAAGGCGGCGACGGGUAGCCGGCCUGAGAGGGUGGACGGCAACAUUGGGACUGAGAUACGGCCCAG
RNAcentral lists this ribosomal RNA (242 nucleotides) under uncultured Actinomycetales bacterium. RNAcentral describes it as "partial 16S ribosomal RNA". It matches the Rfam family "Bacterial small subunit ribosomal RNA", at positions 88 to 334 of the family's 1533-position model. The record is from RNAcentral. Lineage: Bacteria; Bacillati; Actinomycetota; Actinomycetes; Actinomycetales.